This 135-nucleotide small nucleolar RNA is filed under the name Cynoglossus semilaevis (tongue sole). Lineage: Eukaryota; Metazoa; Chordata; Actinopteri; Pleuronectiformes; Cynoglossidae. The record is from RNAcentral.
AUGCACUUUUCUGAGCCUGAUUGGCUUUUUUCAUAAGCCACUCAAAAGGUCAAACACAGUGCAAGAUGAAUUCUUGUCAUAACUGGGGAUUCUUGGCAAUUCUACCAAGUUGCUCUUUUAAAGCAAGAUACAAAA